RNAcentral lists this ribosomal RNA (404 nucleotides) under uncultured bacterium. RNAcentral describes it as "partial 16S ribosomal RNA". It matches the Rfam family "Bacterial small subunit ribosomal RNA", at positions 355 to 776 of the family's 1533-position model. The record is from RNAcentral. RNAcentral also lists the same sequence under 2 other names.
UGGGGAAUAUUGGACAAUGGGGGCAACCCUGAUCCAGCCAUGCCGCGUGAGUGAUGAAGGCCCUAGGGUUGUAAAGCUCUUUCGGUGGGGAAGAUAAUGACGGUACCCACAGAAGAAGCCCCGGCUAACUUCGUGCCAGCAGCCGCGGUAAUACGAAGGGGGCUAGCGUUGCUCGGAAUCACUGGGCGUAAAGCGCACGUAGGCGGCUUUCUAAGUCAGGGGUGAAAUCCCGGAGCUCAACUCCGGAACUGCCUUUGAUACUGGGAGGCUCGAGUCCGGGAGAGGUGAGUGGAACUGCGAGUGUAGAGGUGAAAUUCGUAGAUAUUCGCAAGAACACCAGUGGCGAAGGCGGCUCACUGGCCCGGUACUGACGCUGAGGUGCGAAAGCGUGGGGAGCAAACAGG